Molecule: ribosomal RNA, 460 nt
Filed under: uncultured bacterium
Lineage: Bacteria
Description: partial 16S ribosomal RNA
Rfam family: Bacterial small subunit ribosomal RNA
Source: RNAcentral
CCUACGGGUGGCAGCAGUGAGGAAUAUUGGUCAAUGGUCGGGAGACUGAACCAGCCAAGCCGCGUGAGGGAGGAAGGUACAGAGUAUCGUAAACCUCUUUUGUCAUGGAACAAAGACUGGGACGCGUCCCCGGAUGAGUGUACCUGAAGAAAAAGCAUCGGCUAACUCCGUGCCAGCAGCAGCGGUAAUACGGAGGGGGCGAGCGUUGUUCGGAGUGACUGGGCGUAAAGAGCACGUAGGCGGUGUUGUAAGUCAUUAGUCAAAGACUAGAGCUCAACUUUAGUAAGGCUAGUGAUACUAUAAGACUAGAGUAUCAGAGAGGAAUGCAGAAUUCCUGGUGUAGCGGUGAAAUGCGUAGAUAUCAGGAGGAAUACCGUUAGCGAAGGCGGCAAACUGGCUGGAAACUGACGCUGAGGUGCGAAAGCGUGGGUAGCAAACAGGAUUAGAUACCCCAGUAGUC